This 253-nucleotide ribosomal RNA is filed under the name uncultured bacterium. Its description in RNAcentral is "partial 16S ribosomal RNA". It matches the Rfam family "Bacterial small subunit ribosomal RNA", at positions 524 to 776 of the family's 1533-position model. The record is from RNAcentral.
UACAGGGGGGGCAAGCGUUGUUCGGAAUUACUGGGCGUAAAGGGUUCGUAGGUGGCCAACUUAGUCAGACGUGAAAUCCCUCAGCUUAACUGGGGAACUGCGUCUGAUACUGGAUGGCUUGAGUUUGGGAGAGGGAUGCGGAAUUCCAGGUGUAGCGGUGAAAUGCGUAGAUAUCUGGAGGAACACCGGUGGCGAAGGCGGCAUCCUGGACCAACACUGACACUGAGGAGCGAAAGCCAGGGGAGCAAACGGG